GAUGAACGCUGGCGGCGUGCCUAAUACAUGCAAGUCGAACGGGGAGUAUUAAUUUCGAGUUUUUUACUCCUAGUGGCGAACGGGUGAGUAACGCGUUGGUGACCUGCCCCGAAGAGGGGAACAACAGCUCGAAAGGGCUGCUAAUACCCCAUGUGGUCGUACAGGUUAGAGGCUGAACGACUAAAGGAGCAAUCCACUUCGGGAGGGGCCUGCGUCCCAUCAGCUAGUUGGUAAGGUAACGGCCUACCAAGGCGAAGACGGGUAGGGGGCCUGAGAGGGUGGCCCCCACACUGGCACUGAAACACGGGCCAGACACCUACGGGUGGCAGCAGUAGGGAAUAUUGCACAAUGGGCGAAAGCCUGAUGCAGCAACGCCGCGUGCGCGAAGAAGGCCUUCGGGUUGUAAAGCGCUUUUCUGGAGGAAGAGGAAGGACGGUACUCCAGGAAUAAGGAUCGGCUAACUACGUG
RNAcentral lists this ribosomal RNA (468 nucleotides) under uncultured bacterium. RNAcentral describes it as "bacterial SSU rRNA". It matches the Rfam family "Bacterial small subunit ribosomal RNA", at positions 28 to 507 of the family's 1533-position model. The record is from RNAcentral.